Molecule: ribosomal RNA, 934 nt
Filed under: uncultured archaeon
Lineage: Archaea
Description: bacterial SSU rRNA
Rfam family: Archaeal small subunit ribosomal RNA
Source: RNAcentral
UUCCGGUUGAUCCUGCCGGACCCCACUGCUAUCGAGGUGGGACUAAGCCAUGCUAGUCGAACGCACAGAACUAUGUCUGUGAGUGGCAUACUGCUCAGUAACACGUAGCUAACCUACCCUUCGGACGUGGACAACCCCGAGAAAUUGGGACUAAUCCGCGAUAGAUGUGAUGUCCUGGAAUGGUAUUACGUCUAAAGGUAUUCCAUACAUGUUUGUUAUACGCCUAAGGAUGGGGCUGCGGCUGAUCAGGCUGUUGGUGAGGUAAUGGCUCACCAAACCAUUGACCAGUACGGGCCAUGAGAGUGGUAGCCCGGAGAUGGACACUGAGACAAGGGUCCAGGCCCUACGGGGCGCAGCAGGCGCGAAACCUCCUCAAUGCACUAACGUGCGAAGGGGUUACCUCGAGUGCUACCUGAUGAAGGUGGCUUUUCCUUGGUCUAAAUAGCCUUGGGAAUAAGAGGGGGGCAAGACUGGUGUCAGCCGCCGCGGUAACACCAGCCCCUCGAGUGGUGGGGAUGAUUAUUUGGCCUAAAGCGUCCGUAGCCGGCCGGAUAAGUUUCCCGUUAAAUCCAACGUCUCAAGCGUUGGACCGCGGGAAAUACUGUCUGGCUAGAGAGUGGGAGAGGUCUGCGGUAUUCUGGGGGUAGGGGCGAAAUCCUUUGAUCCCCGGAGGACCACCAGUGGCGAAGGCUGCUGACUUGAACACGUCUGACGGUCAGGGACGAAAGCUGGGGUAGCGAACCGGAUUAGAUACCCGGGUAGUCCCAGCCGUAAACGAUGCAUGCUAGUGUUGGGUUGUCCACGAGCCACCCCAGUGCCGCAGGGAAGCCGUUAAGCAUGCCGCCUGGAAGUACGAUCGCAAGGUUGAACUUAAAGGAAUUGGCGGGGGAGCACCACAGGCGUGAAGCUGCGUUUAAUUGGAGUCAACGCGGAA